Molecule: long non-coding RNA, 384 nt
Organism: Chelonia mydas (Green sea turtle)
Lineage: Eukaryota; Metazoa; Chordata; Testudines; Cheloniidae
Exons: 3
Source: RefSeq, a predicted model, not a curated record
CGGCUUGUUCCACUCACCGUCGUUGCUGUUCUGCAUGACCAUGAUGAUAUCUGCUUUCUCCAGAGCCAGCUCGUCAUUCUCCCGAGCUUUGUACGUCCGUAUGCACUGAACCUGAGGAACCAGCUCUGAGCAGAACCCUCAGGAGGCCUGGGCAGAACACUUCCUUCUUUGACCUCGACCAGAUCCCAUAUGCAGAGGCGGCAGGUUGCUGGGGGAGGCACUGGAGGCAGAGAUUGGGAGAGCAAGAGGAGAAGCGUCGUAUUCAGGUACCCUGCACCCCACUCUCCUGACUUCCAGCAAACUCCUUCUCUUCUUCUAUAUGUCAUAAAAGUCAUAAGACUCAGCAAAUAAACUGAGGAAGAAAAAGUGUCUAGAGUUCAGACA